Molecule: long non-coding RNA, 861 nt
Filed under: Vulpes vulpes (red fox)
Lineage: Eukaryota; Metazoa; Chordata; Mammalia; Carnivora; Canidae
Description: lncRNA (ENSVVUG00000014263.1)
Source: RNAcentral
CUUACACAAAAAGGAUUACAGGAUCAAAAUAUCUUGGCACAUGAAAGGGUUAACUGUUCUGUGUAUAAGACCUUUUUUUUAAAAAAAAAUUUUAUUUAUUUUCUUGAGAGAGAGAGUGAGGGCACUCUCAAGUAGACUCCCUACAGAACAUGGAACCCAGGCAGGCCUGGAUCUCACAACCCUCAGAUCACUACCUGAGCUCAAAUGGAGAAGAUCUUUGUGUUAACUCUACCCAACUGGGACAAACAUGGGGACAUUUGCUCCUGGCACCUAGUGAACAGACACCAAAAAUGCUGCUAGACAUUUUGUAAUGAUUUGAUUUCUGAAUAUUCCUCCCCUUAACAAGGAAUCUUGGACAGAAGAAUCUAUUCUACCUAUCUGGGAUUUAGGUAAAUUUGUCUCAGACUUUCCAAUUUGACUUAUGAGAACAUAGAGAAAAACCACAAGAUUUCAGUCAUUAAAGAGUUUCUUCUUUCCUAUGAUCAUGAGUGUUACCUUAACUAUUUGCAAGCAGCCCAUUUCAAUUGCAUUUUAACUACCCAACAGCCAAACUCAACCCUCUUACUGGUUUCUACAAAAUCCCAGUAAGUAAAAUAUAUUAUAAAGCUGUCAAUUUUAAUGUAUUACUGUUAAAUGAUCAUAUCACAUAAGCUACUCCAUGGCUGACUUGCAAACUUGCAAAACCCCAUAAAAUUAUAUGCCUCCUUUCUAUUACCUUCUUUCUAUUAUCUUCCUAAUGUCUCUGCUUGGGCUUGGGAUUCUUUUAUUAUGAGCUUUUUCUAAGUUAGUUUAUAAAUUAGUUUUAACAAAAGUGUUAAAUAUCACAAUAAAAAAUUCUGGUACCAGGUACCGAGAGUAUAA